RNAcentral lists this ribosomal RNA (465 nucleotides) under Vreelandella stevensii. RNAcentral's name for it is "partial 16S ribosomal RNA". It matches the Rfam family "Bacterial small subunit ribosomal RNA", at positions 338 to 795 of the family's 1533-position model. The record is from RNAcentral. Lineage: Bacteria; Pseudomonadati; Pseudomonadota; Gammaproteobacteria; Oceanospirillales; Halomonadaceae.
UCUACGGGUGGCUGCAGUGGGGAAUAUUGGACAAUGGGCGAAAGCCUGAUCCAGCCAUGCCGCGUGUGUGAAGAAGGCCUUCGGGUUGUAAAGCACUUUCAGUGGGGAAGAAAGCCUUGGGGCUAAUACCCUCGAGGAAGGACAUCACCCACAGAAGAAGCACCGGCUAACUCCGUGCCAGCAGCCGCGGUAAUACGGAGGGUGCGAGCGUUAAUCGGAAUUACUGGGCGUAAAGCGCGCGUAGGCGGUCUGAUAAGCCGGUUGUGAAAGCCCCGGGCUCAACCUGGGAACGGCAUCCGGAACUGUCAGGCUAGAGUGCAGGAGAGGAAGGUAGAAUUCCCGGUGUAGCGGUGAAAUGCGUAGAGAUCGGGAGGAAUACCAGUGGCGAAGGCGGCCUUCUGGACUGACACUGACGCUGAGGUGCGAAAGCGUGGGUAGCAAACAGGAUUAGAUACCCCUGUAGUC